CCUUUUGUAUAAUGGGUCAGCGACUUAUAUUCUGUAGCAAGGUUAACCGAAUAGGGGAGCCGAAGGGAAACCGAGUCUUAACUGGGCGUUAAGUUGCAGGGUAUAGACCCGAAACCCGGUGAUCUAGCCAUGGGCAGGUUGAAGGUUGGGUAACACUAACUGGAGGACCGAACCGACUAAUGUUGAAAAAUUAGCGGAUGACUUGUGGCUGGGGGUGAAAGGCCAAUCAAACCGGGAGAUAGCUGGUUCUCCCCGAAAGCUAUUUAGGUAGCGCCUCGUGAAUUCAUCUCCGGGGGUAGAGCACUGUUUCGGCAAGGGGGUCAUCCCGACUUACCAACCCGAUGCAAACUGCGAAUACCGGAGAAUGUUAUCACGGGAGACACACGGCGGGUGCUAACGUCCGUCGUGAAGAGGGAAACAACCCAGACCGCCAGCUAAGGUCCCAAAGUCAUGGUUAAGUGGGAAACGAUGUGGGAAGGCCCAGACAGCCAGGAUGUUGGCUUAGAAGCAGCCAUCAUUUAAAGAAAGCGUAAUAGCUCACUGGUCGAGUCGGCCUGCGCGGAAGAUGUAACGGGGCUAAACCAUGCACCGAAGCUGCGGCAGCGACGCUUAUGCGUUGUUGGGUAGGGGAGCGUUCUGUAAGCCUGUGAAGGUGUGCUGUGAGGCAUGCUGGAGGUAUCAGAAGUGCGAAUGCUGACAUAAGUAACGAUAAAGCGGGUGAAAAGCCCGCUCGCCGGAAGACCAAGGGUUCCUGUCCAACGUUAAUCGGGGCAGGGUGAGUCGACCCCUAAGGCGAGGCCGAAAGGCGUAGUCGAUGGGAAACAGGUUAAUAUUCCUGUACUUGGUGUUACUGCGAAGGGGGGACGGAGAAGGCUAUGUUGGC
Molecule: ribosomal RNA, 883 nt
Filed under: Escherichia coli
Lineage: Bacteria; Pseudomonadati; Pseudomonadota; Gammaproteobacteria; Enterobacterales; Enterobacteriaceae
Description: partial 23S ribosomal RNA
Rfam family: Bacterial large subunit ribosomal RNA
Source: RNAcentral